UGACUAAGGUUUCCAGAGGAAGGCUCGUCCGCUCUGGGUUAGUCGGGUCCUAAGCUGAGGCCGACAGGCGUAGGCGAUGGAUAACAGGUUGAUAUUCCUGUACCACCUAUAAUCGUUUUAAUCGAUGGGGGGACGCAGUAGGAUAGGCGAAGCGUGCGAUUGGAUUGCACGUCUAAGCAGUAAGGCUGAGUAUUAGGCAAAUCCGGUACUCGUUAAGGCUGAGCUGUGAUGGGGAGAAGACAUUGAGUCUUCGAGUCGUUGAUUUCACACUGCCGAGAAAAGCCUCUAGAUAGAAAAUAGGUGCCCGUACCGCAAACCGACACAGGUAGUCAAGAUGAGAAUUCUAAGGUGAGCGAGCGAACUCUCGUUAAGG
This 373-nucleotide ribosomal RNA is filed under the name Staphylococcus aureus. Its description in RNAcentral is "bacterial LSU rRNA". It matches the Rfam family "Bacterial large subunit ribosomal RNA", at positions 1342 to 1710 of the family's 2925-position model. The record is from RNAcentral. Lineage: Bacteria; Bacillati; Bacillota; Bacilli; Caryophanales; Staphylococcaceae.